AAUUUAUGACCCUGUGCGACUGGCCCACUCCCUAGUGGAGUGCGUGCUUGUUUGCACGGGUCAUUCUUCUGGAAAGCAUUUCUGCUCUUGAUUGGGUUGGUUAUGUGAUUCAGAUCUUUUACUGUGAGUAAAUCAGAGUGUUCAAAGCAGGCAUUUUCGCUUGUAUGGUUCAGCAUGGAAUAAUAAGAUAAGACUUCGGUUUUAUAUUGUUGGCUGUAGAACCAAAGUAAUGAUUGAAAGGGACAGUUGGGGGUGCUAGUAUUCAGUGGUCAGCGGUGAAAUGCGAGGACCCAUUGAAGACUAACUUAUGCGAAAGCAUU
RNAcentral lists this ribosomal RNA (320 nucleotides) under uncultured Thalassomyxa. Its description in RNAcentral is "SSU rRNA". The stretch from base 101 to 320 matches the Rfam family "Eukaryotic small subunit ribosomal RNA", at positions 734 to 955 of the family's 1831-position model. The record is from RNAcentral. Lineage: Eukaryota; Endomyxa; Vampyrellida.